GACGAACGCUGGCGGCGUGCUUAACACAUGCAAGUCGAACGGAAAGGCCCUGCUUUUGUGGGGUGCUCGAGUGGCGAACGGGUGAGUAACACGUGAGUAACCUGCCCUUGACUUUGGGAUAACUUCAGGAAACUGGGGCUAAUACCGGAUAUGAGCUUCUGCUGCAUGGUGGUGGUUGGAAAGUUUCGGCGGUUGGGGCUGGACUCGCGGGUUAUCCGCUUGUUGGUGAGGUAGUGGCUUACCAAGGCUUUGACGGGUAGCCGGCCUGGGAGGGUUGCCGGCGACCAGGGGACUGAGAGACGGACCAGAAUCCUACGGGCGGCAGAAGUGGGAAGUAUUGCGCAAUGGGGGGAAGCCUGAUGCAGCAACGCCGGGAGCGGGAUGACGGCCUUCGGGUGGUGAACAGCUUUCGCCGGAGACGAAGCGUGAGUGACGGUAAUGAGUAAAGAAGCACCGGCUAACUACGUG
This 468-nucleotide ribosomal RNA is filed under the name uncultured bacterium. RNAcentral describes it as "partial 16S ribosomal RNA". It matches the Rfam family "Bacterial small subunit ribosomal RNA", at positions 28 to 507 of the family's 1533-position model. The record is from RNAcentral.